UACGUAGGGGCAAGCGUUGUCCAGAUUUAUUGGGCGUAAAGAGCGUGUAGGCGGCCUGAAAGGUCAGCUGUGAAAACUCGAGGCUCAACCUCGAGACGUCGGUUGAAACCAUCUGGCUAGAGUCCGGAAGAGGAGUGUGGAAUUCCCGGUGUAGCGGUGAAAUGCGCAGAUAUCGGGAAGAACACCCGUGGCGAAGGCGGCACUCUGGGACGGUACUGACGCUGAGACGGCGAAAAGCGUGGGGAGCGAACAGG
This 254-nucleotide ribosomal RNA is filed under the name uncultured bacterium. RNAcentral's name for it is "partial 16S ribosomal RNA". It matches the Rfam family "Bacterial small subunit ribosomal RNA", at positions 524 to 776 of the family's 1533-position model. The record is from RNAcentral.